CUAGUAUAAGUCCAUUGAUUGGCAUCUGGUAUCCAUGUUUCUCUUUGUUUUGUGAGAUUGGUGUAAGCCCAUUGAUUGGCAUCCGGUAUCCACUUUGUUUUAGGAGAUUGGUAUAAGUCCAUUGAUUGGCAUCGGUAUCCAUUUACUUUGUUCAUCUAUUAUUUGCUUGUUGCCUAUUCCAAGGGAAUCACUUGAAUCAUCUACAUAUGAUCUCAAGAGGUGAACAUCUAAGAAGUUU
This 238-nucleotide long non-coding RNA is filed under the name Lathyrus oleraceus (garden pea). Its description in RNAcentral is "Pisum sativum (pea) long non-coding RNA (PSAT_LNC028849)". The record is from RNAcentral. Lineage: Eukaryota; Viridiplantae; Streptophyta; Magnoliopsida; Fabales; Fabaceae.